CAGCCGCCGCGGGAAAACGUAGGGUGCAAGCGUUAAUCGGAAUUACUGGGCGUAAAGCGUGCGCAGGCGGUUAUAUAAGACAGAUGUGAAAUCCCCGGGCUCAACCUGGGAACUGCAUUUGUGACUGUAUAGCUAGAGUACGGCAGAGGGGGAUGGAAUUCCGCGUGUAGCAGUGAAAUGCGUAGAUAUGCGGAGGAACACCGAUGGCGAAGGCAAUCCCCUGGGCCUGUACUGACGCUCAUGCACGAAAGCGUGGGGAGCAAACAGGAUUAGAUACCCCCGUAGUCCCUGUCUCUUAACA
Molecule: ribosomal RNA, 301 nt
Filed under: uncultured bacterium
Lineage: Bacteria
Description: partial 16S ribosomal RNA
Rfam family: Bacterial small subunit ribosomal RNA
Source: RNAcentral